Molecule: ribosomal RNA, 505 nt
Filed under: uncultured bacterium
Lineage: Bacteria
Description: partial 16S ribosomal RNA
Rfam family: Bacterial small subunit ribosomal RNA
Source: RNAcentral
GACGAACGCUGGCGGCGUGCCUAAUACAUGCAAGUCGAACGCACAGUUUAUACCGUUGCUCGCUACACCAUAGACUGUGAGUUGCGAACGGGUGAGUAACGCGUAGGUAACCUGCCUGGUAUCGGGUGAUAACUACUGGAAACGAUAGCUAAUAUCUCUUAAUAUUAAUUAUUGCAUGAUAAUUAAUUGAAAGGUGCAAUUGCACCACUACCAAAUGGACCUGCGUUUUAUUAGCUAGUAGGAGAGGUAACGGCUCACCUAGGCGACGACACAUAGCCGACCUGAGAGGGUGAUCGGCCAAACUGGGACUGGGACACGGCCCAGACUCCUGCGGGAGGGAGCCGUAGGGGAUCUUCGGGAAUGGACGAAAGUCUGACCGGGGCACGCCGGGGGAGUGAAGGAGGUUUUCGGGUCGUAAAGCUCUGGUGUAAGGGAAGGACGGAUGUGGGAGUGGAAAGUGCACACUGUGACGGUAUCUUAUCAGAAAGGGACGGCUAACUACGUG